ACGAACGCUGGCGGCGUGCUUAACACAUGCCAGUCGAACGGAAAGGCCCUGCUUUUGUGGGGUGCUCGAGUGGCGAACGGGUGAGUAACACGUGAGUAACCUGCCCUUGACUUUGGGAUAACUUCAGGAAACUGGGGCUAAUACCGGAUAGGAGCUCCUGCUGCAUGGUGGGGGUUGGAAAGUUUCGGCGGUUGGGGAUGGACUCGCGGCUUAUCAGCUUGUUGGUGGGGUAGUGGCUUACCAAGGCUUUGACGGGUAGCCGGCCUGAGAGGGUGACCGGCCACCUUGGGACUGAGAUACGGCCCAGACUCCUACGGGAGGCAGCAGUGGGGAAUAUUGCACAAUGGGCGGAAGCCUGAUGCAGCAACGCCGCGUGCGGGAUGACGGCCUUCGGGUUGUAAACCGCUUUCGCCUGUGACGAAGCGUGAGUGACGGUAAUGGGUAAAGAAGCACCGGCUAACUACGUG
This 467-nucleotide ribosomal RNA is filed under the name uncultured bacterium. RNAcentral describes it as "partial 16S ribosomal RNA". It matches the Rfam family "Bacterial small subunit ribosomal RNA", at positions 29 to 507 of the family's 1533-position model. The record is from RNAcentral.